UACGUAGGGGGCUAGCGUUGUCCGGAUUUACUGGGCGUAAAGAGCGCGCAGGCGGUCGUUCAAGUCGAGUGUGAAAGCCCCCGGCUCAACUGGGGAGGGGCACGCGAUACUGAUCGACUCGAAGGCAGGAGAGGGUAGUGGAAUUCCCGGUGUAGUGGUGAAAUGCGUAGAUAUUGGGAAGAACACCGGUGGCGAAAGCGCCUUGCUGGGUCUGCACUGACACUGAGGGACGAAAGCUAGGGGAGCGAAAGGG
This 253-nucleotide ribosomal RNA is filed under the name uncultured bacterium. RNAcentral describes it as "partial 16S ribosomal RNA". It matches the Rfam family "Bacterial small subunit ribosomal RNA", at positions 524 to 776 of the family's 1533-position model. The record is from RNAcentral.